UGGGGAAUAUUGCACAAUGGGCGCAAGCCUGAUGCAGCCAUGCCGCGUGUAUGAAGAAGGCCUUCGGGUUGUAAAGUACUUUCAGCGGGGAGGAAGGCGAUAAGGUUAAUAACCUUGUCGAUUGACGUUACCCGCAGAAGAAGCACCGGCUAACUCCGUGCCAGCAGCCGCGGUAAUACGGAGGGUGCAAGCGUUAAUCGGAAUUACUGGGCGUAAAGCGCACGCAGGCGGUCUGUCAAGUCGGAUGUGAAAUCCCCGGGCUGAACCUGGGAACUGCAUUCGAAACUGGCAGGCUAGAGUCUUGUAGAGGGGGGUAGAAUUCCAGGUGUAGCGGUGAAAUGCGUAGAGAUCUGGAGGAAUACCGGUGGCGAAGGCGGCCCCCUGGACAAAGACUGACGCUCAGGUGCGAAAGCGUGGGGAGCAAACA
This 427-nucleotide ribosomal RNA is filed under the name uncultured bacterium. Its description in RNAcentral is "partial 16S ribosomal RNA". It matches the Rfam family "Bacterial small subunit ribosomal RNA", at positions 355 to 774 of the family's 1533-position model. The record is from RNAcentral.